Pollicipes pollicipes is the source of this 898-nucleotide long non-coding RNA. RefSeq lists it as uncharacterized. The transcript is spliced from 3 exons. The record is from RefSeq and is a predicted model, not a curated record. Lineage: Eukaryota; Metazoa; Arthropoda; Thecostraca; Pollicipedomorpha; Pollicipedidae.
GCGGCCGGCCGUCUCUUCGCCAGCCUGCUGAACGCGCUCAAGACGGUCUGUCUCCUGCUCAGGAAGUACGGCGGCAACAAGAAGAGACAGGCGCCGGCCUACUUCGAGGACCUGUACCGCCAGAGUCUGGCCGUGUCGAUGCGGCCCGGCUCCGAGCUGGAGAAGCUGGCCGCCCUGGUGGAGCAGAUUCGCCUGGUGCAGAAGCACUCCUGACCGUUCCGUCCGUUGCUCGAGGGUCUAGCCGCAGCCGAGUUGGGCCUUGUCUUACCUUCCACCUGGUGGCAGCUCUGCGAACUACUCGGCCCCGUCCGUCGGCACUCUGCGCGCAUUUGUACAUCAGCAUGAACAUGUGCUGACACCCAUAUGUAAUCAUGAACGCUCGUACUCACCUCGCUUAUACUUGUGCUGUGCUGUAUUUAUCUGAACUGAUGUAUCGUUUGUAUACCUCUUACCGAACGCGGAGCACGGCUCAUUCAGUGGUGAAUGGCCUUUGUAUUCCAAUUAACCCUCGUAUUUUAUUUAGCCCGUUGCGUUUCCCCCGUUGCAUUCAGUGAAUGGUUGGCCGAAAUUGAUCCAUACCACGGUUAUGAUGUUUCAGCCAGCCAUUCACCGAAAUGCGACGUAAGGAACUAGUAUAUUGGGUGCGGUUCGGGCGCCUAAACCACUGAGUGAGCCGGGCCCGGACACCGACGUCCUCAGGAUGCCGGCGUCCUCACGCGAGGCUGUGCCGCUGUGAACGGCGCGGGGUCCCGCGGGACGGGCCCGCUCAAUGGCAGGACAUUUGUACUACAGUUUCAUGCUAGUGACGCUUACGCAAGGAUCUCAGGUGUGCCGUGGCGUGUCAGAGUGGCGAUUUAAUGAUGGCUUGUGAGCUUUACCACUGUAAUAAAGAUAACUG